This 85-nucleotide transfer RNA is filed under the name Aeromonas salmonicida. Its description in RNAcentral is "tRNA-Leu". It matches the Rfam family "tRNA". From Rfam's summary of the family: Transfer RNA (tRNA) molecules are approximately 80 nucleotides in length. Lineage: Bacteria; Pseudomonadati; Pseudomonadota; Gammaproteobacteria; Aeromonadales; Aeromonadaceae. The record is from RNAcentral. RNAcentral also lists the same sequence under 10 other names.
GCGGAAGUGGCGAAAUUGGUAGACGCACCAGAUUUAGGUUCUGGCGCCGUAAGGUGUGAGAGUUCGAGUCUCUCCUUCCGCACCA